This 450-nucleotide ribosomal RNA is filed under the name uncultured bacterium. RNAcentral's name for it is "bacterial SSU rRNA". It matches the Rfam family "Bacterial small subunit ribosomal RNA", at positions 87 to 533 of the family's 1533-position model. The record is from RNAcentral.
GCUGACGAGUGGCGGACGGGUGAGUAAUGUCUGGGAAACUGCCUGAUGGAGGGGGAUAACUACUGGAAACGGUAGCUAAUACCGCAUAACGUCGCAAGACCAAAGAGGGGGACCUUCGGGCCUCUUGCCAUCGGAUGUGCCCAGAUGGGAUUAGCUAGUAGGUGGGGUAACGGCUCACCUAGGCGACGAUCCCUAGCUGGUCUGAGAGGAUGACCAGCCACACUGGAACUGAGACACGGUCCAGACUCCUACGGGAGGCAGCAGUGGGGAAUAUUGCACAAUGGGCGCAAGCCUGAUGCAGCCAUGCCGCGUGUAUGAAGAAGGCCUUCGGGUUGUAAAGUACUUUCAGCGGGGAGGAAGGGAGUAAAGUUAAUACCUUUGCUCAUUGACGUUACCCGCAGAAGAAGCACCGGCUAACUCCGUGCCAGCAGCCGCGGUAAUACGGAGGGU